GAUGAACGCUGGCGGCGUGCCUAAUACAUGCAAGUCGAGCGAACAGACGAGGAGCUUGCUCCUCUGACGUUAGCGGCGGACGGGUGAGUAACACGUGGAUAACCUACCUAUAAGACUGGGAUAACUUCGGGAAACCGGAGCUAAUACCGGAUAACAUGUUGAACCGCAUGGUUUAACAGUGAAAGACGGUCUUGCUGUCACUUAUAGAUGGAUCCGCGCCGCAUUAGCUAGUUGGUAAGGUAACGGCUUACCAAGGCAACGAUGCGUAGCCGACCUGAGAGGGUGAUCGGCGACACUGGAACUGAGACACGGUCCAGACUCCUACGGGAGGCAGCAGUAGGGAAUCUUCCGCAAUGGGCGAAAGCCUGACGGAGCAACGCCGCGUGAGUGAAGAAGGUCUUCGGAUCGUAAAACUCUGUUAUUAGGGAAGAACAAAUGUGUAAGUAACUAUGCACGUCUUGACGGUACCUAAUCAGAAAGCCACGGCUAACUACGUG
This 497-nucleotide ribosomal RNA is filed under the name uncultured bacterium. Its description in RNAcentral is "partial 16S ribosomal RNA". It matches the Rfam family "Bacterial small subunit ribosomal RNA", at positions 28 to 507 of the family's 1533-position model. The record is from RNAcentral.